This 74-nucleotide transfer RNA is filed under the name Candidatus Omnitrophota bacterium. Its description in RNAcentral is "tRNA-Arg". It matches the Rfam family "tRNA". From Rfam's summary of the family: Transfer RNA (tRNA) molecules are approximately 80 nucleotides in length. Their secondary structure includes four short double-helical elements and three loops (D, anti-codon, and T loops). Further hydrogen bonds mediate the characteristic L-shaped molecular structure. tRNAs have two regions of fundamental functional importance: the anti-codon, which is responsible for specific mRNA codon recognition, and the 3' end, to which the tRNAs corresponding amino acid is attached (by aminoacyl-tRNA synthetases). tRNAs cope with the degeneracy of the genetic code in two manners: having more than one tRNA (with a specific anti-codon) for a particular amino acid; and 'wobble' base-pairing, i.e. permitting non-standard base-pairing at the 3rd anti-codon position. Lineage: Bacteria; Pseudomonadati; Candidatus Omnitrophota. The record is from RNAcentral.
GCGCCCGUAGCUCAAUUGGAUAGAGCAUCUGGCUACGAACCAGAAGGUUAGGUGUUCAACUCACCUCGGGCGCG